UUAUGGUCAUAUCACGUUGGAACACUGGUUCUCGUACGAUCACCGAAGUCAAGCAACGUCGAGCCUGAUCAGUACCUAGACGGAUGAUCGCUUAGGAAUGAAAGGUGCC
Molecule: non-coding RNA, 109 nt
Organism: Acanthosepion pharaonis
Lineage: Eukaryota; Metazoa; Mollusca; Cephalopoda; Sepiida; Sepiidae
Source: the annotation of a GenBank genome assembly